Molecule: ribosomal RNA, 301 nt
Filed under: uncultured bacterium
Lineage: Bacteria
Description: partial 16S ribosomal RNA
Rfam family: Bacterial small subunit ribosomal RNA
Source: RNAcentral
CAGCCGCCGCGGUAAUACGAAGGGUGCAAGCGUUACUCGGAAUUACUGGGCGUAAAGCGUGCGUAGGUGGUUACUCAAGUCAGAGGUGAAAGCCCGGGGCUCAACCCCGGAACUGCCUUUGAAACUAGGUGACUAGAAUCUUGGAGAGGUCAGUGGAAUUCCGAGUGUAGUGGUGAAAUUCGUAGAUAUUCGGAAGAACACCAGUGGCGAAGGCGACUGACUGGACAAGUAUUGACGCUGAGGUGCGAAAGCGUGGGGAGCAAACAGGAUUAGAGACCCGAGUAGUCCCUGUCUCUUAUAC